GUGCUUAACACAUGCAAGUCGUACGAGAACACUCUAGCUUGCUAGGGUAAGUAAAGUGGCGCACGGGUGAGUAACGCGUGGGUAAUCUACCUUCGAAUUGGGGAUAACGUUGCGAAAGCGACGCUAAUACCGAAUAACAUCCAUUAAUCUUCGGGUUUUUGGAUCAAGGGUGGCCUCUACAUGUAAGCUACUGUUUGAAGAUGAGCCCGCGUACCAUUAGCUUGUUGGUGGGGUAAAGGCCUACCAAGGCUUCGAUGGUUAGCUGGUCUGAGAGGAUGAUCAGCCACACUGGAACUGACACACGGUCCAGACUCCUACGGGAGGCAGCAGUGAGGAAUUUUGCGCAAUGGGGGAAACCCUGACGCAGCAACGCCGCGUGAGUGAUGAAGGCUUUCGGGUCGUAAAGCUCUGUCAAGUGGGAAGAACCUGCAGUAUGCUAAUAUCAUAUUGCACUGACGGUACCACUGAAGGAAGCACCGGCUAACUCCGUGCCAGCAGCCGCGGUAAUACGGGGGGUGCAAGCGUUAUUCGGAAUCAUUGGGCGUAAAGAGCACGUAGGCGGCCUGGUAAGUCAGAUGUGAAAGCCCGGGGCUUAACCCCGGAAGUGCAUUUGAUACUGUCAGGCUUGAGUAUGGGAGAGGGAAGU
RNAcentral lists this ribosomal RNA (646 nucleotides) under uncultured delta proteobacterium. Its description in RNAcentral is "bacterial SSU rRNA". It matches the Rfam family "Bacterial small subunit ribosomal RNA", at positions 44 to 662 of the family's 1533-position model. The record is from RNAcentral. Lineage: Bacteria; Deltaproteobacteria.